RNAcentral lists this microRNA precursor (177 nucleotides) under Eucalyptus grandis. Its description in RNAcentral is "mir-172 microRNA precursor family". It matches the Rfam family "mir-172 microRNA precursor family". Rfam says of the family: mir-172 has been experimentally verified in Arabidopsis thaliana. This family is thought to target mRNAs coding for APETALA2-like transcription factors. The mature sequence is excised from the 3' arm of the hairpin. Lineage: Eukaryota; Viridiplantae; Streptophyta; Magnoliopsida; Myrtales; Myrtaceae. The record is from Rfam by way of RNAcentral.
UUGUUUGCCUUUGCAGCAUCAUGAAGAUUCACAAGAGAACUUUCUUUUUUGAAGAGAGCGUCUUUUUUAAUAAUUAACGGUGGUUUAGUUUAUGUGGUCCCUAAUUCCACCUUAAAAGCGUCUCUCUUCAAUAUGAUUUUACCAUGGGAAUCUUGAUGAUGCUGCAGUGGCAAUAAA